RNAcentral lists this long non-coding RNA (403 nucleotides) under Callithrix jacchus (white-tufted-ear marmoset). RNAcentral describes it as "lncRNA (ENSCJAG00000085315.1)". Lineage: Eukaryota; Metazoa; Chordata; Mammalia; Primates; Cebidae. The record is from RNAcentral.
CUGGGACAAUGGCCAGAGAGGGCUUGGAAGCUCUGGGCUCCUUCCCCAUGCUUUGAACCACACAUACCUUCCAUCUGGCUGUUCCUUUUCUUUCUUUCUGUUUCUUUUUUUUUUUUUUUUGAGACAAAGUCUCACUCUGUCACCCAGGUUAAAGUGCAGUGGAAUGGUCUCAGCUCCCUGCAACCCCUGCUGCCUCCUGGAUUCAAGUGAUUCUCCUGCCUCAGCCUCCCAAGUAACUGGGAUUACAGCUGAGCAAGUACCAGGUAAAAAUACCAAAGAGGAAACAGAGACUUUGCCUGAGACACCUUCCCCAGUCAAUUGGAAAAAAAAAGACAAGGGAUAUGCUACAGCUAUGGAAACCUGUCGUAGGUAUGGCGACAUCAUGGCAGAGGAAAUGCCUUAA